Gallus gallus (chicken) is the source of this 1596-nucleotide long non-coding RNA. The record is from Ensembl. NCBI's taxonomy places the organism in Eukaryota, Metazoa, Chordata, Aves, Galliformes, Phasianidae.
GGAGGGCAAAGAAGAUCUUCAAGAAGUGCAUCCACCUGGAUGUGAUGGGGAGUAAGCAUUAAGCACAUGGAUGCAGCUCUACUAAUUUACCGUCCACCUUGGGAACUUCAUGGAUUCUGGGUGUUGCCAGGUGGUUUAGCAAGAAAAAUAUCACCCCUCUUGGAUUCCGGCUGAUAGCUCUAUUUUAAGCACUAUCCCCAUGGGGCAAAUAUUGGACGUGCACUUUAAUUCUUUGCUGAUAUGUUUUCGUUGUGAAAAAUAUUGCUCAGCUGAGUCAUGGGGAGAAGAAAUAUGUCUCAUCACAGAGUUAGUUCUCACACUUGGGACUUAUGUCACGGACAACGUCAUUCCAUCAGGACACAUUCGCUGCGGGCACCUCUCCAGCAAGAUGGGAAGCUGCAUUUAUCCUGUUGGGUGCAUGCAGAAUAGGUGUUUUUUUGGCAAUAAAUCCAGUGCCAGUGCCUCACUGGAGGAUUUCGUUUCUGUGGUAGGAGGAAUCUCAUUAACACGAGCUUCAGAGGAAUCCAGCACUGCCAGCCAGAAGACAAAUGCAGCAAUGCUGUCGUCAUUUAUCAAAUGGAGAAUGACCUUUGCUAUCCAUUAGGAUGAAAUGAAAAGCUUUGGGCUUUAACUUUGUUAAGAUGCACAUGGCUGUCUUUUCAGAUCUCUGAGUUGGUGCAUUGCUGAGUUUAAUCAAAUUGUGCAUUUUGCUAGUGCUUAAGCAGUAUUGUUAUAUAAUUCAAUCUCCAUGUGUUUUUGAGGCAGCAGGCAGAAGAAUUACACUGAAACCAGAUGCAAAACUGUCCUACUGUAGUCAGUGGCUUAGGAGGAAGAAGGGGCUUGGGUCCAAGUGCCAGCCUAGUGUUUGUAGGUCUGGUAUGAUUUGAGUUACCUCUGGUCAAAAUUAGAUAUGUGUGCCUAUAAAGAUGUUUGAGUAGGCACGUGUGUCCUUGGGAAAGCUCAGCUGAAGGAGGAUCCUCCUUGCUCACAGCAAAGACUCCAACAGUCAUCCACCAGCUGCCCCUACGUAGGCAUCUCACGGAUCCUCCCCAGCUCCUUGGCCACCAUCCCAACUGCAGCUGUCCCAACUCUUCCUGCUAUUUUUUAGUCAUAGGGAAACUUACCUUCGUCCUUCCGGUAGGGUGAGCUGAUAACGUGGGAUCAUCCAUGCCCUGGACAUCUCUUGGUGUCCUCACACCAAAACCAAAUCUUUUUUUCUUCCUGACCCUUCAGUAUUUCUCUUUUCCCGUUGACCCACAAGGUGAAGACCCUUCUGCUGAGCAAUGCAGGCAGGCACUGAGAUGGUGCCUGCAACCUCCCAGAGUCCAUGUGGUUAUGUGCAUGAGGUCGGGUGAAGUCCAUUGGAUGUUACACCUUAUGGGCUUCUCCACGUGGUGGAACUGCGAAAUUACGAUUGGGUCUACAGCUGGAAAACCUCCUGUGUCCACAGACUGUAAUCCAACCUGCGUUUGCUUCAGCACAACUCUGUGUGGCUGCCUGGUGUAAGACAAAAAAAAGAUCUUCUCAUUUUUUUUUUCCUGCUUGCUGUAUCUGCUUAUUUACAAACAUAAAUUAAAUCUAGUUAGAGCAUGUGCC